This 565-nucleotide non-coding RNA is filed under the name Bifidobacterium pseudolongum subsp. globosum. Lineage: Bacteria; Bacillati; Actinomycetota; Actinomycetes; Bifidobacteriales; Bifidobacteriaceae. The record is from RNAcentral.
GAGAGCUUGUGGAGAAAGUCGGUGCGACUGUCCUUGACCUUCGCGUAUGCCUUAGCCACCUUCAACCGGGCUUUCCGAUAGUUGUUGCUUCCUUUCUUCUUCCUGGCGAGUUUUCGUUGCGCCAGCCCGAGUUUCCUCAAGUGUUUUCUCAAGUAUCGUGGAUUGUCGAUUUUCUCACCAUUGCUGAGGAUGGCGAAGUGUUCCAAUCCCAUGUCGAUGCCGACCAUGUUCCCGUUCUUGGCGUGCUGUCGAAUCUCGUCCUCGACCAGUAUGCUGACGUGCCAACGUCCAGCCGCGUCCAAACUGACCGUCACGCUGGACGGUCGGCUUUUACGUGGCAGGGCUCGCGACCAUCGGACAGGCAAUGGGUCAUGCAUUUUAGCCAGCGUCAACGCCCUGUGCUCCCAAUCCCAUGUGAAUGCGGAGACGGUGUAGGUGGCGGAUCCUCCCUCGUGUUUCGCUUUGAAUCUUGGAUAGGAGCUGGUCUUGUCGAAGAACCUCUUGAACGCGGCCUGUAAAUGCCGUAGUGAUUGUUGCAGCGGGACGGACGACACUUCCGUCAGAU